GGGACUGUAGUUCAAUGGUAGAACUUCUGCUUCCCAAGCAGACAGCGCGGGUUCGAUUCCCGUCAGUCCCU
Molecule: transfer RNA, 71 nt
Filed under: Microbacterium tenebrionis
Lineage: Bacteria; Bacillati; Actinomycetota; Actinomycetes; Micrococcales; Microbacteriaceae
Description: tRNA-Gly
Rfam family: tRNA
About the family: Transfer RNA (tRNA) molecules are approximately 80 nucleotides in length. Their secondary structure includes four short double-helical elements and three loops (D, anti-codon, and T loops).
Source: RNAcentral